Molecule: ribosomal RNA, 460 nt
Filed under: uncultured bacterium
Lineage: Bacteria
Description: partial 16S ribosomal RNA
Rfam family: Bacterial small subunit ribosomal RNA
Source: RNAcentral
CCUACGGGUGGCAGCAGUGAGGAAUAUUGGUCAAUGGGCGCGAGCCUGAACCAGCCAAGUCGCGUGAGGGAUGACUGCCCUACGGGUUGUAAACCUCUUUUAUAAGGGAAUAAAGUGCGGCACGUGUGCCGUUUUGUAUGUACUUUAUGAAUAAGGAUCGGCUAACUCCGUGCCAGCAGCCGCGGUAAUACGGAGGAUCCGAGCGUUAUCCGGAUUUAUUGGGUUUAAAGGGAGCGUAGAUGGCUUGUUAAGUCAGUGGUGAAAGUUUGCGGCUCAACCGUAAAAUUGCAAUUGAUACUGGCAGUCUUGAGUACAUUUGAGGUAGGCGGAAUGCGUGGUGUAGCGGUGAAAUGCUUAGAUAUCACGCAGAACUCCGAUUGCGAAGGCAGCUUACUAAGCUGUGACUGACACUGAUGCUCGAAAGUGUGGGUAUCAAACAGGAUUAGAUACUCUAGUAGUC